This 460-nucleotide ribosomal RNA is filed under the name Gephyromantis enki. RNAcentral's name for it is "partial 16S ribosomal RNA". It matches the Rfam family "Bacterial large subunit ribosomal RNA", at positions 1970 to 2597 of the family's 2925-position model. Lineage: Eukaryota; Metazoa; Chordata; Amphibia; Anura; Mantellidae. The record is from RNAcentral.
UGUUCUUUAAAUGAGGACUCGUAUCAAUGGCACCACGAGGACUUUACUGUCUCCUUUUUCUAAUCAGUGAAACUAAUCUUCCCGUGAAGAAGCGGGAAUAAAUAGAUAAGACGAGAAGACCCCAUGGAGCUUUAAGCUUACUGCACCUCUAUUUUCUAUAACCUCUUAUUAAACGGAAUACUGCUUACUUAGCUUUAGGUUGGGGUGACCGCGGAGUAUAACAUAACCUCCAUGAUGAACAAAACUAUUUUCUUAUCUAAGAACAACAGUUCUAAGAAUUAGUAUUCUAACAUAAAAUGAUCCGAUAAUCGAUCAACGGACUAAGUUACCCUGGGGAUAACAGCGCAAUCCAUUUCAAGAGCCCCUAUCGACAAAUGGGUUUACGACCUCGAUGUUGGAUCAGGAUAUCCUAGUGGUGCAGCAGCUACUGAAGGUUCGUUUGUUCAACGAUUAAAAUCCU